UCCUGCGCUGCCUACUGGUUAGGGCUUCAGGCUUGUAACCGAAGGGUUGCCAGUUCGAUCCCCGACCAGUGGGAA
This 75-nucleotide transfer RNA is filed under the name Alosa alosa (allis shad). RNAcentral's name for it is "tRNA-OTHER". Lineage: Eukaryota; Metazoa; Chordata; Actinopteri; Clupeiformes; Clupeidae. The record is from RNAcentral.